AAAUGCAGUCGACGGCAGCAUAGGAGCUUGCUCCUGAUGGCGAGUGGCGAACGGGUGAGUAAUAUAUCGGAACGUGCCCUAGAGUGGGGGAUAACUAGUCGAAAGACUAGCUAAUACCGCAUACGAUCUACGGAUGAAAGUGGGGGAUCGCAAGACCUCAUGCUCCUGGAGCGGCCGAUAUCUGAUUAGCUAGUUGGUGGGGUAAAAGCCUACCAAGGCAACGAUCAGUAGCUGGUCUGAGAGGACGACCAGCCACACUGGGACUGAGACACGGCCCAGACUCCUACGGGAGGCAGCAGUGGGGAAUUUUGGACAAUGGGGGCAACCCUGAUCCAGCAAUGCCGCGUGAGUGAAGAAGGCCUUCGGGUUGUAAAGCUCUUUUGUCAGGGAAGAAACGGUAGUAGCGAAUAACUAUUACUAAUGACGGUACCUGAAGAAUAAGCACCGGCUAACUACGUGCCAGCAGCCGCGGUAAUACGUAGGGUGCAAGCGUUAAUCGGAAUUACUGGGCGUAAAGCGUGCGCAGGCGGUUGUGUAAGUCAGA
RNAcentral lists this ribosomal RNA (544 nucleotides) under Herbaspirillum huttiense subsp. huttiense. RNAcentral describes it as "bacterial SSU rRNA". It matches the Rfam family "Bacterial small subunit ribosomal RNA", at positions 53 to 592 of the family's 1533-position model. The record is from RNAcentral. Lineage: Bacteria; Pseudomonadati; Pseudomonadota; Betaproteobacteria; Burkholderiales; Oxalobacteraceae.